RNAcentral lists this ribosomal RNA (620 nucleotides) under uncultured Actinomycetes bacterium. RNAcentral describes it as "bacterial SSU rRNA". It matches the Rfam family "Bacterial small subunit ribosomal RNA", at positions 91 to 724 of the family's 1533-position model. The record is from RNAcentral. Lineage: Bacteria; Bacillati; Actinomycetota; Actinomycetes.
AUCAGUGGCGAACGGGUGCGUAACACGUGGGCAACCUGCCCCUCACUCUGGGAUAACUCCGGGAAACCGGGGCUAAUACCGGAUACUCCGGCCGAACCGCAUGGUUCAGCCGGGAAAGGUCCGCCGGUGAGGGAUGGGCCCGCGGCCUAUCAGCUUGUUGGUGGGGUAACGGCCUACCAAGGCGACGACGGGUAGCUGGUCUGAGAGGACGACCAGCCACACUGGGACUGAGAUACGGCCCAGACUCCUACGGGAGGCAGCAGUGGGGAAUCUUGCGCAAUGGGCGAAAGCCUGACGCAGCGACACCGCGUGAGGGACGAAGGCCCUCGGGUUGUAAACCUCUUUCGGCAGGGACGAAGCGAUCGUGACGGUACCUGCAGAAGAAGCUCCGGCUAACUACGUGCCAGCAGCCGCGGUAAGACGUAGGGAGCGAGCGUUGUCCGGAUUCAUUGGGCGUAAAGAGCGCGCAGGCGGUUCGGUAAGUCGGUUGUGAAAUCCCGGGGCUCAACCCCGGAAUUGCGUCCGAAACUGCCGGACUAGAGGUAGGUAGGGGAGAUCGGAAUUCCUGGUGUAGCGGUGGAAUGCGCAGAUAUCAGGAGGAACACCGGUGGCGAAGGCGG